Long non-coding RNA from Esox lucius (northern pike), 1031 nucleotides. The record is from Ensembl. NCBI's taxonomy places the organism in Eukaryota, Metazoa, Chordata, Actinopteri, Esociformes, Esocidae.
AUACCAUCUCUAAUAAAGAGGAUUGUAAUUGGCUUUGCACUGCACAGGUAGGAGUAGCAGUGGCAGAUUCGGCUGUAGUAGCAUGUGUAUAGAUGAGAUUAUUCAGGGGUGGAGUACAGUGAAUGCGCAUACAUCCACAGAUGUUUGAGGCGGGAAAUAGGGGGAGCUGGGUUUUAGAGUAACUCGGAUGCAAUUCCAUUUACACAAAUAAUUUUUAUCGAGAAUAAAUAAGGAAACCAGUUCUCCCGGUUCCCAGAAAAAUGGUAUCCAGGCUUGUGCCAUUUUCCACUUUGAAUAACAACACAACCGCGGUUUACGUUUUGUUCGGAUGGAUCCCGCUGUGCUCAUCUUCCUGCUGUAUAUAAUGAUUGCUCAUGAGAUGGUCUGCGGCUGGAUGCAGUACCAGAGGCAAGCCGCCAAACCCCGCAAACGCGUCAUACCAAUGUGGAGGGCCAGUGCUCGAGUUUGCCCUAGCAGCUGGCGAGUCAGCAGCCAGUCUUGCAGGGCAGAGAGAGGACGAGACUGGAGGAGAGCUGCUGGGAAGAGUGGACGGAUUGUCAGGAAGGCAUAAACUGGAAAAAGUAACUGUUCAGCAGAACUUCAGACAAUUCCAUAAAUCCAAAAUGGAUUGAUGGAAUGAAAGGCCUCUUCCUUCAACAGUUACAUUUUUAUUGAUCUUGGUCUGCUCCAUGAACUGUUUGCUGUGAUUGGGCAGCACAUGGGCACUGGGAGUUGCUCAGUUAUCAAGUCUAAACCCCUCAGAACAUUAUCAUACAAUAUGAUGACAAGUGGGAAGACUGUACUUUUUAUGUAUUUAUUGGUUCAUUUAUAUUUUACAGUCACAUUAUAUCAUUUCAAACGUGUAUUUGACAUUUUAUAAUGUUUUAUGUUGAUCAAUGACAACAUGCACUCUACAUCUGAUAUUUGGUAGAUACAAGUUGAUUUGUCUCCAUGAUGUUCAGAAACUGAGCUACAGCCUACUAAAGUCCAGGAGUCAAAUACAUUUGACUUAGUUUGAAAUGUAAUUCGAU